RNAcentral lists this ribosomal RNA (369 nucleotides) under uncultured eukaryote. RNAcentral's name for it is "partial 18S ribosomal RNA". It matches the Rfam family "Eukaryotic small subunit ribosomal RNA", at positions 592 to 975 of the family's 1831-position model. The record is from RNAcentral.
CAAUAGCGUAUAUUAAAGUUGUUGCAGUUAAAAAGCUCGUAGUUGGAUUUCUGGUCGGAAGCUCCUGCCCUCUGAUGAGCGUACAAGUGCGUCCUACCAUCCUUCUGUUAACCUUUAAGGCUUUCGCGGCUUUCUAGGGGCUCAGAUAUUUUACCUUGAGAAAAUUAGAGUGUUUCAGGCAGGCUAGCGCCGGAAUACAUUAGCAUGGAAUAAUGGAAUAGGACUUUUGCCUCUUCUGUUGGUCAUGAGGCUCGAGUAAUGAUUAAUAGGGAUAGUUGGGGGCAUUAGUACUUAACUGUCAGAGGUGAAAUUCUCGGAUUUGUUAAAGACUAACUUAUGCGAAAGCAUUUGCCAAGGAUGUUUNCAUUA